AAAUAGAUGUUAUAUAUAAAGGAAUUGUUUACUGAUCUAUAAAAGAACAGUAGAGUAAAUGCAACAGCCAAAUGUGGCCAUGUUGAGCAAUCUGAUUGGUCAGAAAUUUAGUCACGUGGUUAAAUAGUCAAACAUGGCGGCCACCAGACCCGGAAACCCAGACCGAGGGUGGAAUGACCCGCCCAUGUUUAUGUACGAUGCU
Branchiostoma floridae (Florida lancelet) is the source of this 202-nucleotide long non-coding RNA. RefSeq lists it as uncharacterized. Lineage: Eukaryota; Metazoa; Chordata; Leptocardii; Amphioxiformes; Branchiostomatidae. The record is from RefSeq and is a predicted model, not a curated record. The transcript is spliced from 2 exons.